RNAcentral lists this ribosomal RNA (431 nucleotides) under uncultured Bacteroidota bacterium. RNAcentral's name for it is "bacterial SSU rRNA". It matches the Rfam family "Bacterial small subunit ribosomal RNA", at positions 958 to 1385 of the family's 1533-position model. The record is from RNAcentral. Lineage: Bacteria; Pseudomonadati; Bacteroidota.
AACGCGAAGAACCUUACCUGGGCUAGAAUGCAGAUAGACUGCCGGUGAAAGCUGGUUUUGUAGCAAUACACUGUCUGUAAGGUGCUGCAUGGCUGUCGUCAGCUCGUGCCGUGAGGUGUUGGGUUAAGUCCCGCAACGAGCGCAACCCCCAUCACUAGUUGCCAUCAGGUAAAGCUGGGAACUCUAGUGAAACUGCCGUCGUAAGACGCGAGGAAGGAGGGGAUGAUGUCAAGUCAUCAUGGCCUUUAUGCCCAGGGCUACACACGUGCUACAAUGGGAGAGACAAAGGGCAGCAACAUAGCGAUAUGAAGCUAAUCCCAAAAAACUCUUUCUCAGUUCAGAUUGCAGUCUGCAACUCGACUGCAUGAAGCUGGAAUCGCUAGUAAUCGUAUAUCAGCAAUGAUACGGUGAAUACGUUCCCGGGCCUUGUA